RNAcentral lists this ribosomal RNA (496 nucleotides) under uncultured bacterium. Its description in RNAcentral is "partial 16S ribosomal RNA". It matches the Rfam family "Bacterial small subunit ribosomal RNA", at positions 30 to 523 of the family's 1533-position model. The record is from RNAcentral.
AUUGAACGCUGGCGGCAUGCUUUACACAUGCAAGUCGAACGGUAGAGGGGACAACCCCUUGAGAGUGGCGAACGGGUGAGUAAUGCAUCGGAACGUGCCCAGUCGUGGGGGAUAACGCAGCGAAAGCUGUGCUAAUACCGCAUACGAUCUCUGGAUGAAAGCGGGGGACCGAAAGGCCUCGCGCGAUUGGAGCGGCCGAUGUCAGAUUAGGUAGUUGGUGGGGUAAAGGCUCACCAAGCCAACGAUCUGUAGCUGGUCUGAGAGGACGACCAGCCACACUGGGACUGAGACACGGCCCAGACUCCUACGGGAGGCAGCAGUGGGGAAUUUUGGACAAUGGGCGCAAGCCUGAUCCAGCAAUGCCGCGUGCAGGAAGAAGGCCUUCGGGUUGUAAACUGCUUUUGUACGGAACGAAAAGGUCUGGGUUAAUACCCUGGGCACAUGACGGUACUGUAAGAAUAAGCACCGGCUAACUACGUGCCAGCCGCCGCGGUAA